Molecule: ribosomal RNA, 467 nt
Filed under: uncultured bacterium
Lineage: Bacteria
Description: partial 16S ribosomal RNA
Rfam family: Bacterial small subunit ribosomal RNA
Source: RNAcentral
GACGAACGCUGGCGGCGUGCUUAACACAUGCAAGUCGAACGGAAAGGCCCUGCUUUUGUGGGGUGCUCGAGUGGCGAACGGGUGAGUAACACGUGAGUAACCUGCCCUUGACUUCGGGAUAACUUCAGGAAACUGGGGCUAAUACCGGAUAGGAGCUCCUGCUGCAUGGUGGGGGUUGGAAAGUUUCGGCGGUUGGGGAUGGACUCGCGGCUUAUCAGCUUGUUGGUGGGGUAGUGGCUUACCAAGGCUUUGACGGGUAGCCGGCCUGAGAGGGUGACCGGCCACAUUGGGACUGAGAUACGGCCCAGACUCCUACGGGAGGCAGCAGUGGGGAAUAUUGCACAAUGGGCGGAAGCCUGAUGCAGCAACGCCGCGUGCGGGAUGACGGCCUUCGGGUUGUAAACCGCUUUCGCCUGUGACGAAGCGUGAGUGACGGUAAUGGGUAAAGAAGCACCGGCUAACUACGU